UACCAACUAUCACUGCCGGCGAGACUUUCGGCAGCUCUUCCCUGGGCAGACGAUGGCAGCACAAAGUCAGACGACAAAGAGCAGCAGCUUACCGAUGAGGAAUCAAAGAGAGAGAGAGGAAAGAAAAUCGAAUUUUCAAGGCCCUUUUUUGGCCGUUCUAACCAUCCUUCAGCCACCCAACCAGUCCAGAUCGAUGCCCUUCGGCCCAUGAUAGCUCCUAUGGUCGUCGGAUUCGCAUAAAUCGAGGAGAGAUAAAAUGGAUUUUUUCUAGCUUUCUGAUCAGAUUUCUAACGAUCCGAGACCACCAAUGGACUCAACGCAUUGAGACCUUCGA
This 334-nucleotide unclassified non-coding RNA is filed under the name Hevea brasiliensis (rubber tree). Lineage: Eukaryota; Viridiplantae; Streptophyta; Magnoliopsida; Malpighiales; Euphorbiaceae. The record is from RNAcentral.